This 511-nucleotide ribosomal RNA is filed under the name uncultured Actinomycetales bacterium. Its description in RNAcentral is "bacterial SSU rRNA". It matches the Rfam family "Bacterial small subunit ribosomal RNA", at positions 1 to 526 of the family's 1533-position model. The record is from RNAcentral. Lineage: Bacteria; Bacillati; Actinomycetota; Actinomycetes; Actinomycetales.
UAGAGUUUGAUCCUGGCUCAGGACGAACGCUGGCGGCGUGCUUAACACAUGCAAGUCGAACGAUGAAGCGGUGCUUGCACCGUGGAUUAGUGGCGAACGGGUGAGUAAUACGUGAGUGACCUACCUUUGACUCUGGGAUAAGCCUGGGAAACUGGGUCUAAUACCGGAUACGACCAAUCUCUGCAUGGGGUGUUGGUGGAAAGCGUUAUGGAGUGGUUUUAGAUGGGCUCACGGCCUAUCAGCUUGUUGGUGAGGUAAUGGCUUACCAAGGCGACGACGGGUAGCCGGCCUGAGAGGGUGACCGGCCACACUGGGACUGAGACACGGCCCAGACUCCUACGGGAGGCAGCAGUGGGGAAUAUUGCACAAUGGGCGCAAGCCUGAUGCAGCGACGCCGCGUGAGGGAUGACGGCCUUCGGGUUGUAAACCUCUGUUAGCAUCGAAGAAGCGAAAGUGACGGUAGGUGCAGAGAAAGCGCCGGCUAACUACGUGCCAGCCGCCGCGGUAAUUC